RNAcentral lists this microRNA precursor (68 nucleotides) under Dipodomys ordii (Ord's kangaroo rat). RNAcentral describes it as "miRNA (ENSDORG00000029699.1)". The record is from RNAcentral. Lineage: Eukaryota; Metazoa; Chordata; Mammalia; Rodentia; Heteromyidae.
AGGAGGCUUGGAGGAGCAAGGGGCUGGGCCUGGGCAGCCCGUAACUCUGGCCACCCUGCCCCUUCCAG